UGCCAGGAUAGCUCAGUCGGUAGAGCAGUGGACUGAAAAUCCUCGUGUCACCAGUUCAAUUCUGGUUCCUGGCAU
This 75-nucleotide transfer RNA is filed under the name Teilingia granulata. RNAcentral describes it as "tRNA-Phe". It matches the Rfam family "tRNA". Rfam says of the family: Transfer RNA (tRNA) molecules are approximately 80 nucleotides in length. Their secondary structure includes four short double-helical elements and three loops (D, anti-codon, and T loops). The record is from RNAcentral. RNAcentral also lists the same sequence under 1 other name. Lineage: Eukaryota; Viridiplantae; Streptophyta; Zygnematophyceae; Desmidiales; Desmidiaceae.